Molecule: ribosomal RNA, 1619 nt
Filed under: Hungatella hathewayi 12489931
Lineage: Bacteria; Bacillati; Bacillota; Clostridia; Lachnospirales; Lachnospiraceae
Description: bacterial LSU rRNA
Rfam family: Bacterial large subunit ribosomal RNA
Source: RNAcentral
GUUAAGAAGAGAGAAUGCCGGAAUGAGUAGCGAGAUGGAGGUGGGAAUCCUCCAGGCCGAAUAUCUAAGGUUUCCAGAGUAAAGCUGAUCUGCUCUGGGUAAGUCGGGGCCUAAGGCGAGGUCGAAAGACGUAGUCGAUGGACAACAGGUUGAAAUUCCUGUACCGCGUAUUAUCAGAACUGUGGGGACACAGAACCGAAGCCAAACCCGGGAAUGAAAAGACCGGGGCAAGCGCCGGACUGGUUAGACUGGAAAAUCCGUCUAGCAACAGGAAAGCGUGACGCGUACCGAACAAAAGUAGGGAAGUUGGUAUAGGGGCUGUCAAGAAAAGCCGCUAUUGUGUAAUACGUGCCCGUACCGUAAACCGACACAGGUGGAUGAGGAGAGAAUCCUAAGGCCGGCGGGAGAAGCAUUGUUAAGGAACUCGGCAAAAUGGCUCCGUAACUUCGGGAUAAGGAGCGCCCACGAGAGUGGGCCGCAGAGAAUAGGCUCAAGCAACUGUUUAGCAAAAACACAGGUCUAUGCAAAACCGAAAGGUGAGGUAUAUGGGCUGACGCCUGCCCGGUGCUGGAAGGUUAAGAGGAGAGGUUAGAGCAAUCGAAGCUUUGAAUUUAAGCCCCAGUAAACGGCGGCCGUAACUAUAACGGUCCUAAGGUAGCGAAAUUCCUUGUCGGGUAAGUUCCGACCCGCACGAAAGGCGUAAUGAUUUGAGCGCUGUCUCGACAAUGCACCCGGUGAAAUUGAAGUACCAGUGAAGAUGCUGGUUACCUGCGCCAGGACGGAAAGACCCCAUGGAGCUUUACUCCAGCUUGAUACUGGGAUUCGGUGUCGCAUGUACAGGAUAGGUGGGAGGCAGUGAAGGUAGGACGCCAGUCUUACCGGAGCCAUUGUUGGGAUACCACCCUUGCGAUAUUGGGUUUCUAACCUGCGGCCAUGACCUGGCCGGGGGACAAUGUCAGGUGGGGAGUUUGACUGGGGCGGUCGCCUCCGAAAGUGUAUCGGAGGCGCUCAAAGGUUCCCUCAGAAUGGUUGGAAACCAUUCGAAGAGUGCAAAGGCAUAAGGGAGCUUGACUGCGAGACUGACGGGUCGAGCAGGUACGAAAGUAGGACUUAGUGAUCCGGUGGUAUAAAGUGGGAUUGCCAUCGCUCAACGGAUAAAAGCUACCCUGGGGAUAACAGGCUUAUCACUCCCAAGAGUUCACAUCGACGGAGUGGUUUGGCACCUCGAUGUCGGCUCAUCGCAUCCUGGGGCUGAAGUAGGUCCCAAGGGUUGGGCUGUUCGCCCAUUAAAGCGGUACGCGAGCUGGGUUCAGAACGUCGUGAGACAGUUCGGUCCCUAUCCGGCGUGGGCGUAGGAUAUUUGAGAGGAGCUGUCCUUAGUACGAGAGGACCGGGAUGGACUGACCUCUGGUGUACCGGUUGGGUAUCAAACCCAUGGCCGGGUAGCCAAGUCGGGAAGGGAUAAACGCUGAAGGCAUCUAAGCGUGAAGCCCCCCUCAAGAUGAGAUAUCCCAUCGCAAGAGUAAGACCCCUUGAAGACGACGAGGUAGAUAGGGCAGAGGUGGAAGCAUGGCAACAUGUGCAGCUGACUGUCACUAAUAGGUCGAGGGCUUAACCAA